GGGAAUCUUCCGCAAUGGGCGAAAGCCUGACGGAGCAACGCCGCGUGAGUGAUGAAGGUCUUCGGAUCGUAAAACUCUGUUAUUAGGGAAGAACAAACGUGUAAGUAACUGUGCACGUCUUGACGGUACCUAAUCAGAAAGCCACGGCUAACUACGUGCCAGCAGCCGCGGUAAUACGUAGGUGGCAAGCGUUAUCCGGAAUUAUUGGGCGUAAAGCGCGCGUAGGCGGUUUUUUAAGUCUGAUGUGAAAGCCCACGGCUCAACCGUGGAGGGUCAUUGGAAACUGGAAAACUUGAGUGCAGAAGAGGAAAGUGGAAUUCCAUGUGUAGCGGUGAAAUGCGCAGAGAUAUGGAGGAACACCAGUGGCGAAGGCGACUUUCUGGUCUGUAACUGACGCUGAUGUGCGAAAGCGUGGGGAUCAAAC
RNAcentral lists this ribosomal RNA (424 nucleotides) under uncultured bacterium. RNAcentral's name for it is "bacterial SSU rRNA". It matches the Rfam family "Bacterial small subunit ribosomal RNA", at positions 357 to 773 of the family's 1533-position model. The record is from RNAcentral.